AGAGUUUGAUCCUGGCUCAGGAUGAACGCUAGCUACAGGCUUAACACAUGCAAGUCGAGGGGCAGCAUGGUCUUAGCUUGCUAAGGCCGAUGGCGACCGGCGCACGGGUGAGUAACGCGUAUCCAACCUGCCUUACACUCUUGGACAGCCUUCUGAAAGGGAGAUUAAUACAAGAUGUUAUCAUGAGUAAGCAUUUUCGCAUGAUUAAAGGUUUACCGGUGUAAGAUGGGGAUGCGUUCCAUUAGAUAGUAGGCGGGGUAACGGCCCACCUAGUCUUCGAUGGAUAGGGGUUCUGAGAGGAAGGUCCCCCACAUUGGAACUGAGACACGGUCCAAACUCCUACGGGAGGCAGCAGUGAGGAAUAUUGGUCAAUGGACGAGAGUCUGAACCAGCCAAGUAGCGUGAAGGAUGAAGGUUCUAUGGAUUGUAAACUUCUUUUAUACGGGAAUAAACGAAUCCACGCGUGGAUUUUUGCAUGUACCGUAUGAAUAAGGAUCGGCUAACUCCGUGCCAGCAGCCGCGGUAAUACGGAGGAUCCGAGCGUUAUCCGGAUUUAUUGGGUUUAAAGGGAGCGUAGAUGGGUUGUUAAGUCAGUUGUGAAAGUUUGCGGCUCAACCGUAAAAUUGCAAUUGAUACUGGCAGUCUUGAGUACAGUUGAGGUAGGCGGAAUUCGUGGUGUAGCGGUGAAAUGCUUAGAUAUCACGAAGAACUCCGAUUGCGAAGGCAGCUUACUAACCUGUAACUGACAUUGAUGCUCGAAAGUGUGGGUAUCAAACAGGAUUAGAUACCCUGGUAGUCCACACGGUAAACGAUGAAUACUCGCUGUAGGCGAUAUACAGUCUGCGGCCAAGCGAAAGCAUUAAGUAUUCCACCUGGGGAGUACGCCGGCAACGGUGAAACUCAAAGGAAUUGACGGGGGCCCGCACAAGCGGAGGAACAUGUGGUUUAAUUCGAUGAUACGCGAGGAACCUUACCCGGGCUUAAAUUGCAACCGAAUAUGGCGGAAACGCUAUAGCUAGCAAUAGCGGUUGUGAAGGUGCUGCAUGGUUGUCGUCAGCUCGUGCCGUGAGGUGUCGGCUUAAGUGCCAUAACGAGCGCAACCCUUGCCGAUAGUUACUAACAGGUCAUGCUGAGGACUCUGUCGGGACUGCCAUCGUAAGAUGUGAGGAAGGUGGGGAUGACGUCAAAUCAGCACGGCCCUUACGUCCGGGGCUACACACGUGUUACAAUGGGGGGUACAGAGGGCUGCUACCACGCAAGUGGAUGCCAAUCCCAAAAACCUCUCUCAGUUCGGAUUGAAGUCUGCAACCCGACUUCAUGAAGCUGGAUUCGCUAGUAAUCGCGCAUCAGCCACGGCGCGGUGAAUACGUUCCCGGGCCUUGUACACACCGCCCGUCAAGCCAUGGGAGCCGGGGGUACCUGAAGUGCGUAACCGCAAGGAGCGCCCUAGGGUAAAACUGGUGACUGGGGCUAAGUCGUAACAAGGUAGCCGUACCGGAAGGUGCGGCUG
This 1510-nucleotide ribosomal RNA is filed under the name gut metagenome. RNAcentral's name for it is "bacterial SSU rRNA". It matches the Rfam family "Bacterial small subunit ribosomal RNA". The record is from RNAcentral.